This 568-nucleotide ribosomal RNA is filed under the name Escherichia coli. RNAcentral describes it as "bacterial SSU rRNA". It matches the Rfam family "Bacterial small subunit ribosomal RNA", at positions 882 to 1450 of the family's 1533-position model. The record is from RNAcentral. RNAcentral also lists the same sequence under 1 other name. Lineage: Bacteria; Pseudomonadati; Pseudomonadota; Gammaproteobacteria; Enterobacterales; Enterobacteriaceae.
ACGGCCGCAAGGUUAAAACUCAAAUGAAUUGACGGGGGCCCGCACAAGCGGUGGAGCAUGUGGUUUAAUUCGAUGCAACGCGAAGAACCUUACCUGGUCUUGACAUCCACGGAAGUUUUCAGAGAUGAGAAUGUGCCUUCGGGAACCGUGAGACAGGUGCUGCAUGGCUGUCGUCAGCUCGUGUUGUGAAAUGUUGGGUUAAGUCCCGCAACGAGCGCAACCCUUAUCCUUUGUUGCCAGCGGUCCGGCCGGGAACUCAAAGGAGACUGCCAGUGAUAAACUGGAGGAAGGUGGGGAUGACGUCAAGUCAUCAUGGCCCUUACGACCAGGGCUACACACGUGCUACAAUGGCGCAUACAAAGAGAAGCGACCUCGCGAGAGCAAGCGGACCUCAUAAAGUGCGUCGUAGUCCGGAUUGGAGUCUGCAACUCGACUCCAUGAAGUCGGAAUCGCUAGUAAUCGUGGAUCAGAAUGCCACGGUGAAUACGUUCCCGGGCCUUGUACACACCGCCCGUCACACCAUGGGAGUGGGUUGCAAAAGAAGUAGGUAGCUUAACCUUCGGGAGGG